UACGUAGGCAGCGAGCGUUGUUCGGAGUUACUGGGCGUAAAGCGUGCGCAGGCGGUUUUGUAAGUCAGAUGUGAAAUCCCCGGGCUUAACCUGGGAACUGCGUUUGAAACUACAAGGCUAGAGUGUGGCAGAGGGGGGUGGAAUUCCACGUGUAGCAGUGAAAUGCGUAGAGAUGUGGAGGAACACCGAUGGCGAAGGCAGCCCCCUGGGUUAACACUGACGCUCAGGCACGAAAGCGUGGGGAGCAAACAGG
Molecule: ribosomal RNA, 253 nt
Filed under: uncultured bacterium
Lineage: Bacteria
Description: partial 16S ribosomal RNA
Rfam family: Bacterial small subunit ribosomal RNA
Source: RNAcentral